Molecule: long non-coding RNA, 580 nt
Filed under: Elaeis guineensis (African oil palm)
Lineage: Eukaryota; Viridiplantae; Streptophyta; Magnoliopsida; Arecales; Arecaceae
Description: long non-coding RNA (EGUI_LNC075731)
Source: RNAcentral
AGAGAGACUGCUCCAUUAAAAGAAAAAGAAAUAGGCAUCUUCCACAGGCUUUAGAUCGUCUCACUUGGAGGAUCUGAAAUACUUCUGCCUGGUUACCAUUGCGUAUGCCUUAGAUGAAUACCAUACUAGUUUUCCUAUUCUCGUUGAAUCGGAAGCUUCCUUUCCUAAGAAGGAGGGGAGCUUUUAGCAGGACAUCAUCUCAUCUAGUGGGAUAUGAUGAGACUUGCCAACUGUUACAUAAUCCGAUGCUAUUGAAUCAUAUAUGAACAUAUAUAUAAGAUGUCGAGAAUCUGCUACAUUGCCUGGCUUUCUUUGAGUUGAGAAAGGGGAAAACGAAGGCCUAACAAACUAAGUAUGAAUAGGAUUGGACUUGACCUUCUUCUGGUCUAGUCUUUCCCGGGCUGCUUGCUUGAGGCAGCGAGUGACUCGAAGGUGAAAGUGAAAAAAAAAAAACUUACAUUGAAUUAUAUGUCCUUAGGGACUAAUAGGAGAAUGCAAAUAAUAGGUCCUAUUAUUUUAGCCAAAUCCAGGUUUUGAGUUGACUUCUAGUUCUGGACCGAUGGGAACUCCUACUCAUAAA